CCGGCGCACGGGUGAGUAACACGUAUCCAACCUGCCGUCUACUCUUGGCCAGCCUUCUGAAAGGAAGAUUAAUCCAGGACGGGAUCAUGAGUUCACAUGUCCGCAUGAUCAAAGGUAUUUUCCGGUAGACGAUGGGGAUGCGUUCCAUUAGAUAGUAGGCGGGGUAACGGCCCACCUAGUCAACGAUGGAUAGGGGUUCUGAGAGGAAGGUCCCCCACAUUGGAACUGAGACACGGUCCAA
This 241-nucleotide ribosomal RNA is filed under the name uncultured bacterium. Its description in RNAcentral is "partial 16S ribosomal RNA". It matches the Rfam family "Bacterial small subunit ribosomal RNA", at positions 95 to 334 of the family's 1533-position model. The record is from RNAcentral.